Non-coding RNA from Biomphalaria pfeifferi, 328 nucleotides. Lineage: Eukaryota; Metazoa; Mollusca; Gastropoda; Planorbidae. The record is from the annotation of a GenBank genome assembly.
GAACGAUUUGUUUGUGAAUGAUUUGUUUGUGAAUGAUUUGUUUGUGAAUGAUGCCAAGCACCCUAAAGUGAACGUCCUUAUUGGAACUGAAUAACAAAAGAAAUAUGGGCAACAAAGAGGAAGUCUAGAACAUUGGUUGAUGCAGUGAUCUAAAGUGCACAAUACACAUUGGUUGAUGCAGUGAUCUAAAGUGCACAAUACACAUUGGUUGAUGCAGUGAUCUAAAGUGCACAAUACACAUUGGUUGAUGCAGUGAUCUAAAGUGCACAAUACACAUUGGUUGAUGCAGUGAUCUAAAGUGCACAAUACACAUUGGUUGAUGCAGUGA